GCCCCCAUUCGCCACAACUAGAGAAAGCCCGCACGCAGCAAUGAAGACCCAAGCAGCCAAAAAAUAAAUAAAAUUAAACAAUAAUAAUAAUAAAGUUGCUUUUAAAAAAAAUGACUCAUGCUUUGACCACUAAUCCCUGUGUCUCCACUAAAGCCUGUUUUGUUUUGUUUUUUUUGCAGUACGCGGGCCUCUCACUGUUGUGGCCUCUCCGGUCACGGAGCCCAGGCUCCUGAUGCGCAGGCCCAGCGGCCACAGCUCACAGGCCCAGCUGCUCCCCGGCACAUGGGAUCCUCCCGGACCAGGGCACGAACCCAUGUCCCCUGCAUUGGCAGGCAGACUCUCAACCACUGCGCCACCAGGGUAGCCCUAGAGCCUAUUUUUAAAUUCUCCUCUUGGCUGCUCUUUUCUAGGGGUCUCAGUUGCUUUCUUCCAGGGCUCUGGACUCUGGGCAUUUCCUUGACUUCAUGUUUUUUCUGUCUGCUUGCUUCUCCCAGCAAAUUCCAUGUGGAGGAUGGAGCAGAGCCCAAAGAGCAGGUAUUCACAGACCUGUUUUCUCAAGCUCUUCCCACUUAUGUACUCAACUGGGACUGUCCACAUGACAAUGGCAGAAUGCUUUUUUUAUCGAUGUUUUCAUACUAUGAGAGCACAGCCAUGGUUUACACAAGGUCGCUGCGUGUCAGGACAAGGAAGCUGGGCCUUUGUCCCUGCUACACUCUGAGGAAGAAGGGAAGAAUUCAAGCCGGUGAAUGAGCAAAUGAAGGCUCUCCAGAGAGCUGCUGCUUUCCUAUACAUCAGCCUUUAUCAUGAGACCCUCUAAGGGUUCUACCCAAAACACAAAGCCCGUUGUAGGAAGGCAAAACAGGUAGGACAGCCCCAGCCUAAGGAGACCACCUGUAGUUGCUUCACCAAAGGGUUCAUUGUCCCACUGUUAGAACAGACACCUGAAACCAAGCCCGGGUUAGAUUUCCAUGCCACUGCAGCCCGAGCUGAGUGGUCACUCAGCCCAGGGCCUGCCAGCCCACCAGGUGGGUACCAGCUGCCUGGGAACCAGCUGUUCUCACCCAGAACGUCCCUUGACCCAACUCCAACUUUACCCUGAGGUGCCCUAAAAAGUGCCCCCCCCCAGUCAAGCUUUCCUGAAUGGAAACCCACUAAAGAGAAGCUUUCUUACCUGAGAAGGUCCUGGUGCCCAGCUGUGGAAAAAACACUGAGUUCCCGCAGACGUGACAGGGACUCACAGGGCAGCUCUGUUGCUUUUAAAAGAAGAAAGGUGACUUCAUCUCUGGUGCCGUGGAGUUUAGAAGAGCAACAAGUGCUUCCUGGCUGAGUCAACUCGGCCUCGCCAGUGAUGACUCCAUCCAAAUCAUGCAGCCGCUGCCCAGACACGCUCAGCCUUCAGAAGGUGAAGCUUUGGAAUCUGAUUUGCCCUGUUGUUUUCAAAGAGCUUCAGAAAGUCCGGAAACACUAACCGCCUUCACCGGCACCAGGGGUGGGGAAACCACACACUUAUUUCCCUAAGUCAUAUCAUUAUCUCCCAAGAAUCCAACAUUCUAAGGAAGGAAAACAGGUAUUUAAGCGUCUGAGGGGUAAACAUUCUUGGGGAAGGAGGGGAGAGAGAAGAAGCAAAGAUCUUUCAGGCAGGACGAGGAGCAGUAAGAAGCUGGAAAGGAUCACUGUGCUGAGAGAUUUGCAGACCUGGUGAUUUGUAAGCCUACAAAGAUGACAAAUAGGUGAUGGUCUGGAGUUUGCAGAGGGGAAAGUAUUCAGUUCUGCAAAGGGAAUGAGUCACUGUAUGAAAGGAAAGUUGACAGUCUCUUUAAUGAAGGCGACCUAUUUUUAUUUUCUUUUUAUUGCCUGUGGUAUCACUCAACUCAUUUGGGGUCAUUUGUAACAUUAAUAUAUUAGCUCAUAACGUGUCCACAUUUCACCAAAUUUGGGGAAAGAGACAUUUGUUUAAGUCAGGAAUUUUCUCUUUUGUAAGCUAAAGGUGAGGCUGGAGCAAUUAGAUUUGUAACAUGGGAUUCAAGGUCAUGUGAAGCUACCCAGGAAGCCAGGCACCUCUGCUUGAUGUCAUGCCCUUGGGCUAAACUUUGGGCAGACCUUCUGGCUGUGGUGCCAGGACAAGGCAUGGUAAUGGCUGUGACCUCCAUUGGAAGUAGGGCAGAGGGUUGAGCUUAGCAGCUGACUGCCCUUUCUAUCACAUCUCUACUUCAGGAGAGUGUACAGUGACUUGGGGUCCCUAGGCAUGUGUCCAAUUUCUUGCCGAACUAUUUUGAGGCUUUGGGGAUCUUCUUGUGUCAAGCUUGACUCCAGAGAGGGUAAAACAAGAAAAAAAUUAUCUUUCUGUUGAGAUGGAGAUAUUCAGUUCCAACAUUAGAAAGGGGUUUUUGAAUUCAGAGAUUUAAGAAAUGUCAACAUGGCUUGUAGAAGGAUUUGCAAGUCUUCUAGUCAGGGUGUAAGUAGUGAGAAACAUAGAAGAGGAGCAGAGUUUCAUCAAUGUUGAGAUCAAAAAAGGGCAGGGGGCAUUUUUAUUCGGUUGAUCAUAGACUCCUCAGAGCCUUGCACAGAGAGUAGCACACAGCAGGUGCUCAGUAGAUAGAGAAUAAAUGGUGUCCGACAGCCCCUUCUGUUCCAGAUUUCUAGAACAGAUCUGUUGAGGACUUUUUGUUAAAUUGAAGCAUAAUUGACAUACAACAUCGUUGUAGUUUUGUAUGUGUUCAUCAUAGUGUACAUCAUAGUGAUUUGAUAUUUAUAUACAUUG
Long non-coding RNA from Orcinus orca (killer whale), 2761 nucleotides. RefSeq lists it as uncharacterized. The transcript has 3 exons. The record is from RefSeq and is a predicted model, not a curated record. Lineage: Eukaryota; Metazoa; Chordata; Mammalia; Artiodactyla; Delphinidae.